GGACGAGGAGGAGGCUGCGGUGAUUGCCCCCGAGGGCUCCGUGGGUGCGUACUCACAGCCCGGGGCCCUCGGGAGGCAGCGGCCUGCUCCCCGCUCCACACCCCCAGGGCCGCCAUGGAUCCGGCUGCUCUGCGCGGGAGCUGCAGGUAAUAAAUGCUUAUUAAAGGAAACUCCAUAGAACUGAAAGAAGAAACAGAUGGCCCUGUAGAUCCAGGGAAAAGAGCUGCCUCUGCCUCCGCAUGGAAACCAGCACUGAGGUCUCCCCUCGCCUCCCACCCUGUUAAUGUCCUUGCUAGCAGGAGCAUAAAGGCCAUCACGGCAGGGACUCUGCAGUGAAGAGGAGGCCCCGCUCGUGGAGCCUGCUGUAGAAACACUUGCUAACUGUGAGUCCAGGGAUUUGAUUCCUGACAGAGAUUCUCUCCUUGAGAAACUCCACGCAGCCCCCCUGAACUUUUCAAUGAGACCUCAACUUUUGGACUUCUGUGGUUGUCUCUGCCUUGUCUGCUUUUGGCAAGAACCCCCACCUAGAUAACUGGUCAGGAGACCCCGCCGUCCCCGGGUGAUACCCUCACUUCAGCAAGAAUCCUGUUAGGUUGGUUUCACCAGAACCCUCUGAGCGUGGUGUUUUGUCUUGGUAAUUUCCCGUCC
Molecule: long non-coding RNA, 648 nt
Organism: Gorilla gorilla gorilla (western lowland gorilla)
Lineage: Eukaryota; Metazoa; Chordata; Mammalia; Primates; Hominidae
Exons: 3
Source: RefSeq, a predicted model, not a curated record